AGAGAAUUAUAAAAACCAUGAGGAGUUUUCUGGAAAAGAUGUGGUGUGCAAGAAAUAGGGAAUUGGAAGAUUUGUAAUGGAUAUAUACUGCUUGUGUUGUUUUAUUUUUACAGGUUGUGCCGAUACGAAGGCCUGACUCUCCAACGGGUCACCUGUACAGCAAGAGCAAGAGCAAGAAGAGAGUAAACACAGUCUCGUGUGUAUCCCCGACCCCGACCUUCAGGAGAAGACCAAGAAGAAGGAGAAGAAAUCACCAAAUGACUGGCCCUUUCACUUGGCAGCAUCAACUCACCAUUCAGCCGCUGACCCCCAGUGACAGACUUCCGGGAGACUGGAAGGUUAGCAGAGCACACGUGUGGCAACCAAAGAGCAGCUGUUAAGUAGCAGACGAGACAUAGAAAGGUAGUGGUGUCCACCAUGCUGGGAGGAGGACAGCGCUAAGUGACGGCACCCGACUCUGUGUGUGUGUGUGUCCUGACGCCCACUGCUGGUGCUGAAGUGAGGGUCUGAGGUGGGCAGCACAGGGCCAGAAGACAGCACCUGACUCUGUGUGUGUGUGUCAUGACGUCCACUGCUGGUGCUGAAGUGAGGGUCUGAGGUGGGCAGCACAGGGCCAGAAGACAGCGGCUGACUCUGUGUGUGUGUGCCCUGACGUCCACCGCUGGUGCUGAAGUGAGGGUCUGAGGUGGGCAGCACAGGGCCAGAAGACAGCCUCUGACUCUGUGUGUGUGUGUCCUGACGUCCACCGCUGGUGCUGGUGCUGAAGUGAGGGUCUGAGGUGGGCAGCACAGGGCCAGAAGACAGCACCUGACUCUGUGUGUGUGUGUCCUGACGUCCACCACUGGUGCUGGUGCUGAAGUGAGGGUCUGAGGUGGGCAGCACAGGGCCAGAAGACAGCA
Molecule: long non-coding RNA, 899 nt
Organism: Eriocheir sinensis (Chinese mitten crab)
Lineage: Eukaryota; Metazoa; Arthropoda; Malacostraca; Decapoda; Varunidae
Exons: 3
Source: RefSeq, a predicted model, not a curated record